Molecule: ribosomal RNA, 497 nt
Filed under: uncultured bacterium
Lineage: Bacteria
Description: partial 16S ribosomal RNA
Rfam family: Bacterial small subunit ribosomal RNA
Source: RNAcentral
GAUGAACGCUGGCGGCGUGCCUAAUACAUGCAAGUCGAGCGAACAGACGAGGAGCUUGCUCCUCUGACGUUAGCGGCGGACGGGUGAGUAACACGUGGAUAACCUACCUAUAAGACUGGGAUAACUUCGGGAAACCGGAGCUAAUACCGGAUAAUAUAUUGAACCGCAUGGUUCAAUAGUGAAAGACGGUUUUGCUGUCACUUAUAGAUGGAUCCGCGCCGCAUUAGCUAGUUGGUAAGGUAACGGCUUACCAAGGCAACGAUGCGUAGCCGACCUGAGAGGGUGAUCGGCCAAACUGGAACUGAGACAAGGUCCAGACUCUUACGGGAGGCAGCAGUAGGGAAUCUUCCGCAAUGGGCGAAAGCCUGACGGAGCAACGCCGCGUGAGUGAUGAAGGUCUUCGGAUCGUAAAACUCUGUUAUUAGGGAAGAACAAAUGUGUAAGUAACUAUGCACGUCUUGACGGUACCUAAUCAGAAAGCCACGGCUAACUACGUG